This 465-nucleotide ribosomal RNA is filed under the name Vreelandella stevensii. Its description in RNAcentral is "partial 16S ribosomal RNA". It matches the Rfam family "Bacterial small subunit ribosomal RNA", at positions 338 to 795 of the family's 1533-position model. The record is from RNAcentral. Lineage: Bacteria; Pseudomonadati; Pseudomonadota; Gammaproteobacteria; Oceanospirillales; Halomonadaceae.
CCUACGGGAGGCAGCAGUGGGGAAUAUUGGACAAUGGGCGAAAGCCUGAUCCAGCCAUGCCGCGUGUGUGAAGAAGGCCUUCGGGUUGUAAAGCACUUUCAGUGGGGAAGAAAGCCUUGGGGCUAAUACCCUCGAGGAAGGACAUCACCCACAGAAGAAGCACCGGCUAACUCCGUGCCAGCAGCCGCGGUAAUACGGAGGGUGCGGGCGUUAAUCGGAAUUACGGGGCGUAAAGCGCGCGUAGGCGGUCUGAUAAGCCGGUUGUGAAAGCCCCGGGCUCAACCUGGGAACGGCAUCCGGAACUGUCAGGCUAGAGUGCAGGAGAGGAAGGUAGAAUUCCCGGUGUAGCGGUGAAAUGCGUAGAGAUCGGGAGGAAUACCAGUGGCGAAGGCGGCCUUCUGGACUGACACUGACGCUGAGGUGCGAAAGCGUGGGUAGCAAACAGGAUUAGAUACCCCAGUAGUC